UUAACAAAAACAUGUCUUUUUGAAUUUAAAUAUAAAGUUUAAUCUGCCCACUGAUAAAUUAUUUAAUGGCCGCAGUAUUUUAACUGUGCAAAGGUAGCAUAAUAAUUAGUCUUUUAAUUGAAGGCUUGUAUGAAUGAUUGGACGAGAUAUAAACUGUCUCAUAAAAAAUUUUUUAGAAUUUAAUUUUUUAGUUAAAAAGCUAAAAUAAAUUUAAAAGACGAGAAGACCCCAUAGAUCUUUAUAUUUUUUUUUAUUAUUAUUAUUUAGUUUUUUUAUAAAUUAAUAAAUAAAAAUAUUUUGUUGGGGUGACAUUGAAAUUUAAUAAACUUUCAAAAUUUAAUAACAUUAAUUUAUGAAUUUAUGAUCCUUUAUUAAUGAUUAAAAAUUUAAGUUACCUUGGGGAUAACAGCGUAAUUAUUUUGGAAAGUUCAUAUUGAUAAAAUAGAUUGCGACCUCGAUGUUGGAUUAAGAUUAAUUUUGGGUGUAGCAGUUCAAAAUAUUAAGUCUGUUCGACUUUUAAUUUCUUACGUGAUCUG
RNAcentral lists this ribosomal RNA (536 nucleotides) under Campsicnemus sinuatus. Its description in RNAcentral is "partial 16S ribosomal RNA". It matches the Rfam family "Bacterial large subunit ribosomal RNA", at positions 1804 to 2607 of the family's 2925-position model. The record is from RNAcentral. Lineage: Eukaryota; Metazoa; Arthropoda; Insecta; Diptera; Dolichopodidae.